This is a long non-coding RNA of Fukomys damarensis (Damara mole-rat), 310 nucleotides long. RefSeq lists it as uncharacterized. Lineage: Eukaryota; Metazoa; Chordata; Mammalia; Rodentia; Bathyergidae. The transcript has 3 exons. The record is from RefSeq and is a predicted model, not a curated record.
AAUCCUCACAGCCUUCCUGCAGGGCAGGGACAGCUGCCGCCCAUGCUACAGGUCCUGCUGUGCGGGGGGCCGGUGUCGUCACUUCAGAGGAAAGCACCUCCCCGAUGGCUCGUGGUCUCAGCGAGAUGUACCCAGCUUAUGUAAGACACGCGGUUGGCCGUGAUCACAUCAGGGCUGCCCUGGAAGGGGCCGGAACGGGGAGGGCCCGAGGCCAGACCAGUCCCACCGUCAGAGGCCCAGGCACUGUGUGUAGGAUGUGUGCAGGAGAGGCUGCAGCCUGGGAGUCCUCUCCAGCGCCACAGAAACCCAC